CAAAAUAUCAAUUUCAUGAAACAGGAACACACAGGCCCGGGUUGCAGAAACGGUGCUUCUCAUGCCAGGAAAGACGGCACGAGGAGUAAGUGAGAGGUUCGCGACUAUUCGUCCAACAAACCCAAAACUGUGGAAUAGUCUGCCAGUUAACCUCUGUGAGAAGAGCGCUCUAUAAACAUAAAUUGAAUUGAACUGAUGUGGGGCACCAGGUCGGAGCGGUCAAUAGACCAGUUCCUUCACCGCUCGUCCCCCCUUCAUCCUAGGCGCUGUGACUGAAUGUCGCCACCACCGACACCGUGGUCAAAACAACACGGAAGCGCCUGUCCUCUCUCCGUAGGCUGAACAAGUUUGGCAUGCCAUCCCGGAUCCGGGGCUAAUUUCUACAGGCGUACAGCCGAGAGCAUCCCGACCGGCUGCAUCACUGCCUGGUAUGGGAGCUGCUCGGCCCAGCAUUGUGAGGAACCGCAGAGGGCGGUGAAGUCGGCACAGCUCAUCGGUGGCUCUGAGCUUCCAAACAUCCGGGACAUCUACGCAGCCAGAUGCCUGAAGAAGGCCUGGGCUAUCCUCAAGGAGCCCAGUCAUCCUGGUCACGCACCGUUUUCUCUCCUGCCGUCCGCUAAAUAUUGCCAAAACAUCAAAUCAAAAUCAAACAGACUGCGGGAUAGCGUCUAUCUCCAGGCUGUUAGACGCCCGAACAGUCGAGCGGCAUCCGAAUGCAGCAACUCAUCCGGUUUUCGUUAAGUAGUUUCACUUCAUAGUUAUUAGUGUUACCAGAUUUCUGUUGCGCUGCAAAUUGAAAACGUUAUUUGUAAUCUUGAGGUGUCGGGGAAGGCCGCUUUGUCUCCCGGGCGCCUGAAGGUAGUGCACCCCACCGACGCUGGUGUUUCUCCAGCGAAGGCUCUGAACGUCGAGGGAGCACGAAAGAAGAACCUGUGUGGCCUGGAGGUCGGAGAUUCGAGUCGUUCCGCUAUGCGCGCCGUCUUCCCUCGACCGGACGGCAGGCCGCAAGCGCUACUGGACGUUGCUGGGAAGAGGAAGAAACCCCUGCCGAGGGGCGUCACUGCGCCGUCUCCAUUGUAGAGUGGCUCUGUCGACUGGCGCAAAGCGGUACGCUUCAUUUAAAAAUCUCAAAGGCAUUUGGUAAGAAUCUCAAGCUGGGUACAAAUGCAACGGAUGAUGCAGUUCCCGACACCAGGCCGAGGAAGGAGGGGCCGAGAGAGUCGGGGGCUCGUUGGUCUAGGGGUAUGAUUCUCGCUUCGGGUGCGAGAGGUCCCGGGUUCAAAUCCCGGACGAGCCCGCCCAGCUCCCUGCUUGGCUGUGUCAGUUGAGCUCUCGAAAGUGUACUGGCAGCAAGAGUGUUGCGGGAAGGUUCAGCAUGGGCCAAGGGGCUUGCAGGAAGGCUCUUGCUGAGGAGGGGAAAGAUCCCUGGUAGAGCAGGCCAGGCUGGUCCUCC
RNAcentral lists this transfer RNA (1453 nucleotides) under Scleropages formosus (Asian bonytongue). RNAcentral describes it as "lncRNA (ENSSFOG00015027360.1)". The stretch from base 1226 to 1297 matches the Rfam family "tRNA". The record is from RNAcentral. Lineage: Eukaryota; Metazoa; Chordata; Actinopteri; Osteoglossiformes; Osteoglossidae.